UAGAGUUUGAUCAUGGCUCAGAUUGAACGCUGGCGGCAGGCCUAACACAUGCAAGUCGAGCGGUUGAARRRAGCUUGCUUYYUGAUUCAGCGGCGGACGGGUGAGUAAUGCCUAGGAAUCUGCCUGGUAGUGGGGGACAACGUUUCGAAAGGAACGCUAAUACCGCAUACGUCCUACGGGAGAAAGCAGGGGACCUUCGGGCCUUGCGCUAUCAGAUGAGCCUAGGUCGGAUUAGCUAGUUGGUGAGGUAAUGGCUCACCAAGGCGACGAUCCGUAACUGGUCUGAGAGGAUGAUCAGUCACACUGGAACUGAGACACGGUCCAGACUCCUACGGGAGGCAGCAGUGGGGAAUAUUGGACAAUGGGCGAAAGCCUGAUCCAGCCAUGCCGCGUGUGUGAAGAAGGUCUUCGGAUUGUAAAGCACUUUAAGUUGGGAGGAAGGGCAGUAAGCUAAUACCUUGCUGUUUUGACGUUACCGACAGAAUAAGCACCGGCUAACUCUGUGCCAGCAGCCGCGGUA
Molecule: ribosomal RNA, 520 nt
Filed under: uncultured bacterium
Lineage: Bacteria
Description: bacterial SSU rRNA
Rfam family: Bacterial small subunit ribosomal RNA
Source: RNAcentral